GUUUUUGGAUCCUCACACAUCCCAAGCUCCAGCAUUUCAUCAAGGAGACAUGUCUGCAGGCAGUGUGACAGCUGCUGCCUGGCUCCUGGAGCCUGCCACGCUUUAUUUGGGUCACACAGAGGAUCUUUGCUUCCCCUUGAAGCAGGAAUAAUAAUCGUAACACUGGAAGCAGUAAGUGCAUUGAAUAAGCUGGAGAGCUAAGAGAGAGAAACACUCUCAGCCUGGUGUGACCUCAGCAUGGUGCCAACCCUGGGGCAAACUCUGUCAGCCAAAGGAGCAGCUCCAGAGGUGCCAGUGAAGUCAGACUGCCAUGGGAUCAGAGCCCCACACAGACUUUGGCUGAUGAUCUAACAACUUAUAGACCAAGCAAAUUUAAGGAUAUAGACUAAGUUCAGUCCUCACUGUCAUCUUCAUCAUCA
This is a long non-coding RNA of Corapipo altera (White-ruffed manakin), 419 nucleotides long. RefSeq lists it as uncharacterized. The transcript has 3 exons. Lineage: Eukaryota; Metazoa; Chordata; Aves; Passeriformes; Pipridae. The record is from RefSeq and is a predicted model, not a curated record.